GAUGAACGCUGGCGGCGUGUUUAACACAUGCAAGUCGAACGGAAAGGCCUCUGCUUGCAGGGGUACUCGAGUGGCGAACGGGUGAGUAACACGUGGGUGAUCUGCCCUGCACUUCGGGAUAAGCCUGGGAAACUGGGUCUAAUACCGGAUAGGACAAUGGUUUGGAUGCUGUUGUGGAAAGUUUUUCGGUGUGGGAUGAGCUCGCGGCCUAUCAGCUUGUUGGUGGGGUAAUGGCCUACCAAGGCGUCGACGGGUAGCCGGCCUGAGAGGGUGUACGGCCACAUUGGGACUGAGAUACGGCCCAGACUCCUACGGGAGGCAGCAGUGGGGAAUAUUGCACAAUGGGCGCAAGCCUGAUGCAGCGACGCCGCGUGGGGGAUGACGGCCUUCGGGUUGUAAACUCCUUUCGCUAGGGACGAAGCGUUUUUGUGACGGUACCUGGAGAAGAAGCACCGGCUAACUACGUG
This 467-nucleotide ribosomal RNA is filed under the name uncultured bacterium. RNAcentral's name for it is "partial 16S ribosomal RNA". It matches the Rfam family "Bacterial small subunit ribosomal RNA", at positions 28 to 507 of the family's 1533-position model. The record is from RNAcentral.